This 532-nucleotide ribosomal RNA is filed under the name uncultured eukaryote. Its description in RNAcentral is "SSU rRNA". It matches the Rfam family "Eukaryotic small subunit ribosomal RNA", at positions 19 to 549 of the family's 1831-position model. The record is from RNAcentral.
AGUAGUCAUAUGCUUGUCUCAAAGAUUAAGCCAUGCAUGUCUAAGUACAAGCCUCACUAAGGUGAAACCGCGAAUGGCUCAUUAAAUCACACCUAAUCUACUGGAUAGUUAACAGUUACUUGGAUAACUGCGGUAAUUCUGGAGCUAAUACAUGCACAAAGCCCCGAACUUACGUGAGGGGCGCUUUUAUUAGAUCAAAACCAAACGGCUUCGGCUGUAUCCUUGGUGACUCUGAAUAACUUUGGGCUGAUCGCAUGGCCUAGCGCCGGCGACAUAUCCUUCGAAGGUGUGCCCUAUCAACUGUCGACUGUGGCAUAGACGCCCACAGUGGUUUUGACGGGUAACGGGGAAUCAGGGUUCGAUUCCGGAGAGGGAGCCUUAAAAACGGCUACCACAUCUAAGGAAGGCAGCAGGCACGCAAAUUACCCAAUGACCGAAGGUCGAGGUAGUGACAAAAAAUAACGAUACGGGACUCAUCUGAGGCCCCGUAAUCGGAAUGAGUACACUUUAAAACCGUCCCCGAGGAUCUAUU